GUUGGGUAGGGGAGCGUUCUGUAAGCCUGUGAAGGUGUGUCGUGAGGCAUGCUGGAGGUAUCAGAAGUGCGAAUGCUGACAUAAGUAACGAUAAAGCGGGUGAAAAGCCCGCUCGCCGGAAGACCAAGGGUUCCUGUCCAACGUUAAUCGGGGCAGGGUGAGUCGACCCCUAAGGCGAGGCCGAAAGGCGUAGUCGAUGGGAAACGGGUUAAUAUUCCCGUACUUGGUGUUACUGCGAAGGGGGGACGGAGAAGGCUAUGUUGGCCGGGCGACGGUUGUCCCGGUUUAAGCGUGUAGGUGUGUGUUCCAGGUAAAUCCGGUUCACUUUAACACUGAGGCGUGACGACGAGGCACUACGGUGCUGAAGCAACAAAUGCCCUGCUUCCAGGAAAAGCCUCUAAGCAUCAGGUAACAUCAAAUCGUACCCCAAACCGACACAGGUGGUCAGGUAGAGAAUACCAAGGCGCUUGAGAGAACUCGGGUGAAGGAACUAGGCAAAAUGGUGCCGUAACUUCGGGAGAAGGCACGCUGACACGUAGGUGAAGUGAUUUACUCAUGGAGCUGAAGUCAGUCGAAGAUACCAGCUGGCUGCAACUGUUUAUUAAAAACACAGCACUGUGCAAACACGAAAGUGGACGUAUACGGUGUGACGCCUGCCCGGUGCCGGAAGGUUAAUUGAUGGGGUCAGCGCAAGCGAAGCUCCUGAUCGAAGCCCCGGUAAACGGCGGCCGUAACUAUAACGGUCCUAAGGUAGCGAAAUUCCUUGUCGGGUAAGUUCCGACCUGCACGAAUGGCGUAAUGAUGGCCAGGCUGUCUCCACCCGAGACUCAGUGAAAUUGAACUCGCUGUGAAGAUGCAGUGUACCCGCGGCAAGACGGAAAGACCCCGUGAACCUUUACUAUAGCUUGACACUGAACAUUGAGCCUUGAUGUGUAGGAUAGGUGGGAGGCUUUGAAGCGUGGACGCCAGUCUGCGUGGAGCCGACCUUGAAAUACCACCCUUUAAUGUUUGAUGUUCUAACGUGGACCCGUGAUCCGGGUUGCGGACAGUGUCUGGUGGGUAGUUUGACUGGGGCGGUCUCCUCCUAAAGAGUAACGGAGGAGCACGAAGGUUGGCUAAUCCUGGUCGGACAUCAGGAGGUUAGUGCAAUGGCAUAAGCCAGCUUGACUGCGAGCGUGACGGCGCGAGCAGGUGCGAAAGCAGGUCAUAGUGAUCCGGUGGUUCUGAAUGGAAGGGCCAUCGCUCAACGGAUAAAAGGUACUCCGGGGAUAACAGGCUGAUACCGCCCAAGAGUUCAUAUCGACGGCGGUGUUUGGCACCUCGAUGUCGGCUCAUCACAUCCUGGGGCUGAAGUAGGUCCCAAGGGUAUGGCUGUUCGCCAUUUAAAGUGGUACGCGAGCUGGGUUUAGAACGUCGUGAGACAGUUCGGUCCCUAUCUGCCGUGGGCGCUGGAGAACUGAGGGGGGCUGCUCCUAGUACGAGAGGACCGGAGUGGACGCAUCACUGGUGUUCGGGUUGUCAUGCCAAUGGCACUGCCCGGUAGCUAAAUGCGGAAGAGAUAAGUGCUGAAAGCAUCUAAGCACGAAACUUGCCCCGAGAUGAGUUCUCCCUGAGACUUAAAGUCUCCUGAAGGAACGUUGAAGACGACGACGUUGAUAGGCCGGGUGUGUAAGCGCAGCGAUGCGUUGAGCUAACCGGUACUAAUGAACCGUGAGGCUUAACCUUACAACGCCGAAG
This 1737-nucleotide ribosomal RNA is filed under the name Salmonella enterica subsp. enterica serovar Newport. Its description in RNAcentral is "bacterial LSU rRNA". It matches the Rfam family "Bacterial large subunit ribosomal RNA", at positions 1223 to 2925 of the family's 2925-position model. The record is from RNAcentral. Lineage: Bacteria; Pseudomonadati; Pseudomonadota; Gammaproteobacteria; Enterobacterales; Enterobacteriaceae.